Molecule: ribosomal RNA, 433 nt
Filed under: uncultured bacterium
Lineage: Bacteria
Description: partial 16S ribosomal RNA
Rfam family: Bacterial small subunit ribosomal RNA
Source: RNAcentral
AACGAACGCUGGCGGCAUGCCUAAUACAUGCAAGUCGAACGAACCCACCGGGUCCAUGGGCGCAUGGGGUUGUAACGCGUGGGAACCUGCCCUUAGGGUUGGACUAACUCUCCGAAAGGGGUGCCAAUACCGGACCAUGGCUACUGACCAAAGAUUUAUUGCCCUUGGUUGGACCGGCGUUGGAUACGCUGGUUGGUAGGCUAAUAGCCUACCAAGGCGACGAUCCAUAGCUGGUUAGAGAGGAUGAUCAGCCACUCUGAGACUGAGACGCGGCCCAGACUCCUACGCGAUGCAGCAGUGGGGAAUGUUGGACAGUGGGCGAAAUCCUGAUGCAGCACUGCCGCGUGAGUGAUGAAGGCCUUGGGGUUGUAAAGCUCUUUUACCCGGGAUGAUAAUGACAGUACCGGGAGAAUAAGCCCCGGCUAACUCCGUG